UUGGCGAGGUGGUCCCUAACGUUGCCGU
RNAcentral lists this non-coding RNA (28 nucleotides) under Homo sapiens (human). The record is from RNAcentral. Lineage: Eukaryota; Metazoa; Chordata; Mammalia; Primates; Hominidae.